AUGCAAAAAGGUAAACUCUUUGUUUCAAAAUGUGAUAAGCUCACACUUUUUAGUGUUUAUCCUUGGCCAACAAGACACUCACGAUUUCUCAUUUGUUGCACCGCCAUAUUCCUUCAAAUGGGAACUUCUUCUUUUGACGGACAGAAGAAUACACAGAGCACCUGUUUUUGUUCUUUCAAUUUGCGAGAAAAGUUUGGCAUGAGUGGGUCAUCGAUUUUUUGCAGAGGGAUGCACCCAUUGAAGCAACUGCUUUGGUGGUUACUAUUUCGCACAUAUGGGAGGCGAGAAAUUGUUGGGAAAUGUUGCAUGGAAAACAAAAAAAAUCUACGCACACGCAAGAUCUAUCCAUGGAGAUGCAUAGCUACGAGAGGGGGAGAACAUCUACAUACCCUUGUAGACCGCUAA
RNAcentral lists this ribosomal RNA (405 nucleotides) under Triticum aestivum (bread wheat). RNAcentral describes it as "partial small subunit ribosomal RNA". Lineage: Eukaryota; Viridiplantae; Streptophyta; Magnoliopsida; Poales; Poaceae. The record is from RNAcentral.